UGUAGAAUGAAGAGGAAUCAUGCAAAUAAUCUCAACCCCAAUAAAAAUCUGCUCCCUGUGACUUGAUGGAUCUGUAAACUUGGAAGAAGCUCUCAUCAUUUUUAAAUUCUUCCCUCAUAAGAGUGAGUCGGGGCCCGGAUUGGGACCAUCUUAGAGCCAAUGCAGUGGUCGAGAGCCCUUGAAGGUCACUGCUGUGCUUUGGGAUGGAGGCCACUGUGUUGUUCAGCAAAAGCUUUUCGGGUCUUCUGUAACUGAGCAGAUGAGAAUAUCUUCCGAGGAGGUAACCAUCAUCUGUAACCAAAGCCCACAAAUGAAUUCAAGAUGGGCUCAUCUCGUCUAUCAAACUCCCUUCUACAGGGUCUGGUGCUACAGCCUGGCUCGGGGCAUUGAAUUGGGAUGUGCCCUUGAGCCCUGGAGAGCUGUGGGGAGUAAGUGCACUAUCGACUCUCCAUCUACAAAACUUGGAGCAGCCAGUAGUUGCACCGCACAGACCGUGGUCAAAGCCCAGCAGCAGCAGGAAGGCCUGCUGAGCGAGGACUCUUGUACUCACAAAUCUUUGGUGAAUUAAGAUGACACCUUCUGCAAUACUCUUAAGCGCUCGGUACAAAAAAGCAAACGUGCAGCACUGUCCUACAUGGAGUUUUUUGCACGAGCUCAGCUGGCAUAACAGGAUGGGCGUAGAGGUGGGAAGGUGGGGACAAAGAAUGUCUUCCAUGGUGGAAGGAACCAGGGAGGGAAUAAAAGCAUUUUCAUUUAGCAAAAAGUGAAAUUGAUGAUGAAGAAAAUGUAAUAUUGAUUUCUUUCUUCUUCCUGCUGGCUCUGAAGCUUUAAAUGAAGUCAUAGAGCAAUGGAGACUCCAACUUUGAUUGGUUGUGCUUCGACCUAAUCUCAUUUUAAGAGCCUAGUUUGUAUGAUUGUUGGUGACAUGCAGAGGUUUCUCUUUAGGUGGAGUGAGGCUAUCAUUCCUCCAACAUGCCAUUAAGUCAAUCAGAAAUUGUGCUGGAGACCUCCUAUCCUGUACUUGCAGAUGGGCUUCUUCCCUGUACCAUACCUUGGCCCCAACAGCAGCUCUGCUCAGAAACUCAAUGAGCAGUACCGCUUGCCCAAAGAAGAACUUUUCAGAAAAAUGGGUAUAAGUGGUGGUUCAUCAAGCUGAAGACUACACAGAGAUUUUAUUUAUUUAUUCAUGAGAGACACAGAGAGGCAGAGACAUAAGCAGAAGGAGA
Molecule: long non-coding RNA, 1226 nt
Organism: Canis lupus familiaris (dog)
Lineage: Eukaryota; Metazoa; Chordata; Mammalia; Carnivora; Canidae
Exons: 3
Source: RefSeq, a predicted model, not a curated record